AGCGCCGCAUCCUCGGGAAUGCUGGUGCGGGGUUGUUCUCCGGCUGGAUGUGUGGAAAUACACCAGCUCUGUUUCUCUGCUGUUUACAUGUGUCAUAAGGCAAAUGGCACUGCUAUUAACUGGAAAAUCUGGUCUAGCAUACAUGAUGUGCAUUUAGAGUGACAGCUCUGUACCUUGAUCUACACUUAAUGAAACCACUCUGAAUGGAGCAUCUGGUAGAACAAGUCUUCCUUAGGACAUAUGAAGAAGAAACUACAUGCUCUGAUGCCAAGCAAACUCAUGCAUGCUUUAUCACAGGCACCUGAUGAAGGAAGUGCUUUCCUGUAGCUCCUGUUUCACAGGUGAUAAAUUCUGCUUGAUGCAGGUGGUAAUGAA
Non-coding RNA from Agelaius phoeniceus (red-winged blackbird), 375 nucleotides. Lineage: Eukaryota; Metazoa; Chordata; Aves; Passeriformes; Icteridae. The record is from RefSeq and is a predicted model, not a curated record.